UUUCUGAUGAAGUCCAAUUUAUCGACUUCCUCUUUUAUGAUUUGUGUUUUUGGUGUCAUGUCCAAGAACUCUGUAAGUCUUAGAUCCUGAAGACUUUCUCCUGCUUUUUUCUAAAAGUUUUACACUUUUACUACAUUUGAAUUUGAGAUCCAUUUGAGUUAAUUUCUGCAUAAAGUGGGGGAGUUAGGUAGAGGUCCAUUUUUGUGCAUACGGAUGUCUAAUUGCUGCAGCACUCUUUAUUGAAAAAGCUCUCCUUCCUCUGUUGAAUUGCUUUUAUACUUUUGUCAAAAAUCGAUUGGGCAUAUUUGUGUGGGACUAUUUCUGGGUUCUCUUUCCUGUUCUGCUCUCAUGUGUCUCUCUCUCUGCCGAUACCACACUGUCUUGAAUUAGUAUUUAGUGGGCCUCAAUAUCAGAUAGAGUGAGACCUCCUACUUUAUUCUCCUUAGGGAUUGUUUUUAGCUAUUUUAAGCCCUGUGCUUUUCCAUAUAAUUUAAACUUGUUUAUAUCUGCAAAAAUUGUUGCUGGAAAUUCUGUUAAACCCAUGGGCCAAUUUGGGAAAAAUUGAUGUCUUUACUACGUUAAGUCUUUCAAUCCAUGAAUGCAAUAUAUCUCUUUAUUUGGUUCGACCUACUUUGAUUUCAUUCAUUAGCAGUGUGUAAUUUCCAGCAUAGAACCCUAUCUAUAUUGUGUUAGAUGUAUAACUAAGUAUUUCAUUUUCUUUGGUUUAACUAUAAAUUAUAUUUUGUUUUUAGUUUUGGUUUCUACUGAUCUGUUGCUAGUUUACAGAAAUACAAUUGAUUGUUCUGUGUUGAUCUUGUAUCCUGCAAUUUUACUGAAAUCACUUUAGUAGUUUUAGGAGAUAUUUUUGUGAUGUCUUGGGAUUAUCUAUGAAGACAUAAAGUUAUAACGUCAACCACAAAUAGCGAAAGAUUUUUUCCUUUUAGAUAUGCAUACUCCUUAUUUCUUAUUGCUCUGGUAGAACUUCCAGCACUACGUCAAAUAUGAGUGAUGAAGGCAGACAUUCUCCUUGUUCCUGAUCUAAAGGGGAAGAAUUCAGUCUUUUACCAUUAAGUAUUAUGAUAAACAUACAUUGUUUGUAGAUUCCCUUUAUCAAAUUGUUGGAGUUUCCCUCUGUUCCUAUUUAUCUGAGCUUUUCAUUAUGAAUGAGUAUUGGAAUUUGUCAAGUGAUUUCUCUGCAUUACUUGAUAUAAUCAUAACAUUUUUCUUUUUAGCUUGUGGAUAUGGUGGAUUACGUUAAUUGAUUUUCAAAUGUUGAACCAGCCUUGCACACCUGGAAGAAAUCCCACUUGUCCAUAGUAUGGCUGUCCUGGUAAAGGAAAUAUUUUCACCUGGCCUUUGGGAAGUGGAGGUCUGGCCCGUGAUCCCUGGGGAGCCUGCAGUUGCAUGAAUAGUGUGGACACAUUGGUGAUGGUGCUCCCAUUACCUCCAGCGGAUAAGCUCUACUCCAACCCGCACUCAUCAACAAUGACUGGGUUCUCCUGGAAAGAUCUGGAGAGAAACUUGAGAAGGAAGGAGGAAGCAUAAAACAGAACUGAAUAUUAAUCUACACCAAAAUAUUUAAAAUAUUAAAUAUUUAAAAUAUUAACGUAACAACUAGCAUGAGAAUUCCAGGUCCUUUUAGGAGUCUCUCAUGUUCAACCAUCAUCUUCCAAUUUAGGCCGGACUCAGAAGAGGACUGGAGAAACUCCAAUUCAAAGCCCUGAAUCUUCAUAAAUUCCAGAAAUGGAAGAGAGAGAAUAAAACAUAGAACCACUAGUCCUCCUCCUCAACUUCACAAAACACCGCGUGUUCCUUGUGGGCAAAAGAGAGCUAUAUUCUAAUUUUUAAGCUUUCGGGAGGAAGUGUGUCUUUAGAAUGUUAAUAAUCAUUAUCAUCCUCUAUCUACUGCACCUUUGCUCUUUUGCUUAGGAUUGCAUUUGACACUUACUUAAUUUGAAGGUGUUUAUGAAGUCACAGCCAGGCAUCUUUCCUUUAGGUUUGAUAAUAUUUUACAACCAAACUCUGUCCCUUUUGCUUAAAGCCCAGAACGCUCCGAAGGCCUAGGAAGACUUCACUUCACAUCUUUCUUGCAACAUUUUGAAUAUUUCUUUUACCUUUUUCUAAUAACGUUUACACCUACAUUCCAAAUCUUAAAAGGAAGGCAUUUUUAACCCUAUAUUUGUUUUCCUUUUCCAUCGUGGGCACCUUAAAACCUUGACUCUUUCCUCUGUCUCCGUGGUCCUGCAAGGAGGGCGGUGACUUGAGCCGACCGAC
Equus caballus (horse) is the source of this 2274-nucleotide non-coding RNA. The record is from RefSeq and is a predicted model, not a curated record. NCBI's taxonomy places the organism in Eukaryota, Metazoa, Chordata, Mammalia, Perissodactyla, Equidae.